This 71-nucleotide transfer RNA is filed under the name Microlophus stolzmanni. RNAcentral's name for it is "tRNA-Tyr". Lineage: Eukaryota; Metazoa; Chordata; Lepidosauria; Squamata; Tropiduridae. The record is from RNAcentral.
ACCCCUGUUUGUGAAACUACACUUCACCGCCUAAACACUCGACCAUUUUACCCGUGUUCAUCAACCGUUGA